UCCCUGGUGGCUCAAAAGGUAAAGAAUCUGCCUGCAAUGCAGGAGACUCGGGUUCAGUCCCUGACUCGGGAA
Molecule: transfer RNA, 72 nt
Filed under: Bos taurus (domestic cattle)
Lineage: Eukaryota; Metazoa; Chordata; Mammalia; Artiodactyla; Bovidae
Also listed under: 2 other names
Rfam family: tRNA
About the family: Transfer RNA (tRNA) molecules are approximately 80 nucleotides in length. Their secondary structure includes four short double-helical elements and three loops (D, anti-codon, and T loops). Further hydrogen bonds mediate the characteristic L-shaped molecular structure. tRNAs have two regions of fundamental functional importance: the anti-codon, which is responsible for specific mRNA codon recognition, and the 3' end, to which the tRNAs corresponding amino acid is attached (by aminoacyl-tRNA synthetases). tRNAs cope with the degeneracy of the genetic code in two manners: having more than one tRNA (with a specific anti-codon) for a particular amino acid; and 'wobble' base-pairing, i.e. permitting non-standard base-pairing at the 3rd anti-codon position.
Source: Rfam by way of RNAcentral